GACAGAGGUGCCGAGCGUUAGGCGGAAUCACUGGGCUUAAAGCGUGUGUAGGCGGAUGCCUAAGUACCUUGUGAAAUCCCCCGGCUUAACCGGGGAACUGCUUGGUAUACUGGGUGUCUUGAGCCACUUAGGGGCGACCGGAACAAACGGUGGAGCGGUGAAAUGCGUAGAUAUCGUUUGGAACGCCAAUGGUGAAAACAGGUCGCUGGGAGUGCGCUGACGCUGAGACACGAAAGCCAGGGGAGCGAACGGG
RNAcentral lists this ribosomal RNA (253 nucleotides) under uncultured bacterium. Its description in RNAcentral is "partial 16S ribosomal RNA". It matches the Rfam family "Bacterial small subunit ribosomal RNA", at positions 524 to 776 of the family's 1533-position model. The record is from RNAcentral.